This 337-nucleotide unclassified non-coding RNA is filed under the name soil metagenome. RNAcentral's name for it is "partial contains 5.8S ribosomal RNA, internal transcribed spacer 2, and large subunit ribosomal RNA". The stretch from base 1 to 120 matches the Rfam family "5.8S ribosomal RNA", at positions 35 to 154 of the family's 154-position model. The record is from RNAcentral.
GAUGAAGAACGCAGCGAAAUGCGAUAAGUAAUGUGAAUUGCAGAACUCAGUGAAUCAUCGAAUCUUUGAACGCACAUUGCGCCCCUUGGUAUUCCAUGGGGCAUGCCUGUUCGAGCGUCAUUUGUACCCUCAAGCUUUGCUUGGUGUUGGGUGUUUGUCCCGCGUUGCGCGUGGACUCGCCUUAAAGCGAUUGGCAGCCGGCAUAUUGGCCUUGGAGCGCAGCACAUUUUGCGCUUCUAGUCAUGAAUGUUGGCGUCCAUUAAGCCUAUACAUUUGCUCUUGACCUCGGAUCAGGUAGGGAUACCCGCUGAACUUAAGCAUAUCAAUAAGCGGAGGA